AUUGAACGCUGGCGGCAUGCCUUACACAUGCAAGUCGAACGGCAGCGGGGGAGAAGCUUGCUUUUCCUGCCGGCGAGUGGCGAACGGGUGAGUAAUACAUCGGAACGUGCCCUGUAGUGGGGGAUAACUAGUCGAAAGAUUAGCUAAUACCGCAUACGACCUGAGGGUGAAAGUGGGGGACCGCAAGGCCUCAUGCUAUAGGAGCGGCCGAUGUCUGAUUAGCUAGAUGGUGGGGUAAAGGCCUACCAAGGCGACGAUCAGUAGCUGGUCUGAGAGGACGAUCAGCCACACUGGGACUGAGACACGGCCCAGACUCCUACGGGAGGCAGCAGUGGGGAAUUUUGGACAAUGGGCGAAAGCCUGGUCCAGCAAUGCCGCGUGUGUGAAGAAGGCCUUCGGGUUGUAAAGCACUUUUGUCCGGAAAGAAAUGGCUCUGGUUAAUACCUGGGGUCGAUGACGGUACCGGAAGAAUAAGGACCGGCUAACUACGUGCCAGCAGCCGCCGUAA
Molecule: ribosomal RNA, 508 nt
Filed under: uncultured bacterium
Lineage: Bacteria
Description: partial 16S ribosomal RNA
Rfam family: Bacterial small subunit ribosomal RNA
Source: RNAcentral